RNAcentral lists this ribosomal RNA (494 nucleotides) under uncultured bacterium. RNAcentral describes it as "partial 16S ribosomal RNA". It matches the Rfam family "Bacterial small subunit ribosomal RNA", at positions 28 to 507 of the family's 1533-position model. The record is from RNAcentral.
GACGAACGCUGGCGGCGUGCUUAACACAUGCAAGUCGAACGGAAAGGCCUGCUUUCCCUUGUGGAUUGCGGGUACUCGAGUGGCGAACGGGUGAGUAACACGUGAGUGAUCUGCCCCCAACUUGGGUAUAAGCCUGGGAAACUGGGUCUAAUUCCCGAUAGGACUGCAGGGUGGUGCCUGUGGUGGAAAACGAUUUUCUAGUGGUUGGGGAUGAGCUCGCGGCCUAUCAGCUUGUUGGUGGGGUAAUGGCCUACCAAGGCGGCGACGGGUAGCCGGCCUGAGAGGGGGGACGGUGAGAUUGGGACUGGGAUACGGCCCAGACUGCUACGGGAAGCAGCAGUGGGGGAUAUUGGACCAUGGGCGGAAGCCUGAUGCAGCGACGCCGCGUGGGGGAUGACGGCCUUCGGGUUGUAAACUCCUUGCGACCGCGAGGAAGCCACCUGGAUGGAAGGGUGGUGACGGUAGUGGUAGAAGAAGCACCGGCUAACUACGUG